Molecule: long non-coding RNA, 584 nt
Organism: Saccoglossus kowalevskii
Lineage: Eukaryota; Metazoa; Hemichordata; Enteropneusta; Harrimaniidae
Source: RefSeq, a predicted model, not a curated record
GUGUCGAGGCAAAUAUAUACCCUCAAUUACAACAAUUCGGAUAAAACCACGGCAAGGGGACGAUUCGGAGAAAGCGUGUGUACCGUUGAUCUGUGCUGGUGUUGUUAUCGUGUCAAUAUUUACAGAAUUACUAAAAUGAAAGUUGAAGUAGUAUUUGUACUAUCAGUGCUAAUCCUGGCUUCGUUGCCGGAUAUGGUCACCUCCUGCGGUGGUCAGAUCUGUAAGAUAUGCGCCGAAGCUGGAGCAAUACCAAGGAACAAGCAAGUGGCGUGUUCACGUUCGCAUCUUAGUCGACAAUGUCACAACUGUAUGAAGAGUCUGAGAAAUAUGAUACAUGACAAUAAAACAUCGUGAUGGAGAUAAUAAAAUGCGUUCAUCAAUAGAAAUCGUCGAGUGUUAAUCUUGACUGUGCUGUACCAUGAUUUAGUCAAUUUCUUCUGAACUCUACAGAGUAGUCAUAUUUACAUUUUAACAUUAUCAAGGAUAGACAUAUAAAUCCGUUCCGCCAAUGGAAUCACGAAAACUAAAUAUCAGUAGGCUUGUAGAACGGGUGAAUAAAAACGACAUGAAAAUUACUUAUUAUA